This 202-nucleotide long non-coding RNA is filed under the name Mytilus galloprovincialis (Mediterranean mussel). The record is from RNAcentral. Lineage: Eukaryota; Metazoa; Mollusca; Bivalvia; Mytilida; Mytilidae.
GCUAUGAUCAAGAAAAAACGAAUUUUAUAUUGUUUUUAUUUAAUUCACCUGUGCACUUUAUUGUGGGACCACGUGUUAUCAUGAAUGAAAAGUUUUAUUGAGUGAUACAAUUGCUUACGGAAUAACACGUGAUGUGCUGUUAGCUAAUCAGAAUAAAGUAUUAUAAUGAAACAUACAUCUAAUGUAAUUAUAUAGUAAUAUA